CAACAAGGCUAUUUUCAAGCCUCCAAAAGCUAUACGAGGAGGCAUUCCUAUUUGCUUUCCUCAAUUCUCAAAUCAUGGACCUCUUGAGCAACAUGGAUUUGCAAGAAACAAGAUUUGGAGUAUCGACCCUAACCCGCCCCCUUUUCCAACAACUAGCUCUAAUAAAGCUUUUGUGGACCUAAUCCUGAAGCCAACAGAAGAAGAUUUGAAGAUCUGGCCCCACAGCUAUGAAUUUCGCGUGAGGAUUACCCUGUGCCCUGGAGGAGAUCUCAUACUGACAUCCCGCAUCAGAAAUACCAAUACUGAUGGAAAACCGUUCUCAUUUACAUUUGCAUACCACACCUAUUUCUCCGUCUCUGAUAUCAGUGAAGUGCGUGUAGAAGGAUUGGAGACAUUGG
RNAcentral lists this unclassified non-coding RNA (398 nucleotides) under Hevea brasiliensis (rubber tree). Lineage: Eukaryota; Viridiplantae; Streptophyta; Magnoliopsida; Malpighiales; Euphorbiaceae. The record is from RNAcentral.